GUAGUCCAUGCCGUAAACGUUGGGCGCUAGGUGUGGGCCGCAUUCCACGUGGUCUGUGCCGCAGCUAACGCAUUAAGCGCCCCGCCUGGGGAGUACGGCCGCAAGGCUAAAACUCAAAGGAAUUGACGGGGCCCCGCACAAGCGGCGGAGCAUGCGGAUUAAUUCGAUGCAACGCGAAGAACCUUACCAAGGCUUGACAUGCAGGGAAAUCCUCCAGAGAUGGUGGGUCCGCAAGGGUUCCUGCGCAGGUGGUGCAUGGUUGUCGUCAGCUCGUGUCGUGAGAUGUUGGGUUAAGUCCCGCAACGAGCGCAACCCUCGUUCGAUGUUGCCAGCGGGUGAUGCCGGGGACU
RNAcentral lists this ribosomal RNA (350 nucleotides) under uncultured Kineosporiaceae bacterium. RNAcentral describes it as "bacterial SSU rRNA". It matches the Rfam family "Bacterial small subunit ribosomal RNA", at positions 790 to 1139 of the family's 1533-position model. The record is from RNAcentral. Lineage: Bacteria; Bacillati; Actinomycetota; Actinomycetes; Kineosporiales; Kineosporiaceae.